CCUACGGGAGGCAGCAGUGAGGAAUAUUGGUCAAUGGGCGGGAGCCUGAACCAGCCAAGUCGCGUGAGGGAAGACGGUCCUAUGGAUUGUAAACCUCUUUAGGCGGGGAGCAAGGCCGGGCACGUGUGCCCGGAGGGAGAGUACCCGCAGAAGAAGCAGCGGCGAACUCCGUGCCAGCAGCCGCGGUAAUACGGAGGAUGCGAGCGUUAUCCGGAUUUAUGGGGUUGAAAGGGUGCGUAGGCGGAUUUUUAAGUCAGCGGUAAAAUGUCCGGGCUCAACCCGGGCCGGCCGUUGAAACUGGGGAUCUUGCUUGGGCGAGAAGUAUGCGGCAUGCGUGGUGUAGCGGUGACAUGCCUAGAUAUCACGCAGAACUCCGAUUGCGCAGGCAGCAUACCGGCGCCCGCCUGCCGCUGCGGCAC
Molecule: ribosomal RNA, 419 nt
Filed under: uncultured bacterium
Lineage: Bacteria
Description: partial 16S ribosomal RNA
Rfam family: Bacterial small subunit ribosomal RNA
Source: RNAcentral